UUGCCCUAGUAACGGCGAGUGAAGCGGCAACAGCUCAAAUUUGAAAUCUGGCCCCCGGGUCGAGUUGUAAUUUGUAGAGGAUGCUUUUGGUGCGGUACCUUCCGAGUUCCCUGGAACGGGACGCCAUAGAGGGUGAGAGCCCCGUCUGGUUGGACGCCAAUCCUUUGUAAAGCUCCUUCGACGAGUCGAGUAGUUUGGGAAUGCUGCUCUAAAUGGGAGGUAUAUGUCUUCUAAAGCUAAAUAUUGGCCAGAGACCGAUAGCGCACAAGUAGAGUGAUCGAAAGAUGAAAAGCACUUUGAAAAGAGAGUUAAAAAGUACGUGAAAUUGUUGAAAGGGAAGCGCUCAUGACCAGACUUGGGCCCGGUUGAUCAUCCAGGGUUCUCCCUGGUGCACUCUUCCGGCCCAGGCCAGCAUCAGUUCGCUGUGGGGGAUAAAGGCUUCGGGAAUGUGGCUCCUCCGGGAGUGUUAUAGCCCGCUGCGUAAUACCCUGUGGCGGACUGAGGUUCGCGCAUCUGCAAGGAUGCUGGCGUAAUGGUCAUCAGCGACCCGUCUUGAAACACGGACCAAGGAGUCGUCUUCGUAUGCGAGUGUUCGGGUGUUAAACCCCUACGCGGAAUGAAAGUGAACGCAGGUGAGAGCUUCGGCGCAUCAUCGACCGAUCCUGAUGUUCUCGGAUGGAUUUGAGUAAGAGCAUACGGGGCCGGACCCGAAAGAAGGUGAACUAUGCCUGUAUAGGGUGAAGCCAGAGGAAACUCUGGUGGAGGCUCGCAGCGGUUCUGACGUGCAAAUCGAUCGUCAAAUAUGGGCAUGGGGGCGAAAGACUAAUCGAACCUUCUAGUAGCUGGUUUCCGCCGAAG
Molecule: ribosomal RNA, 858 nt
Filed under: Corinectria fuckeliana
Lineage: Eukaryota; Fungi; Ascomycota; Sordariomycetes; Hypocreales; Nectriaceae
Description: LSU rRNA
Rfam family: Eukaryotic large subunit ribosomal RNA
Source: RNAcentral